Molecule: long non-coding RNA, 1905 nt
Organism: Seriola aureovittata
Lineage: Eukaryota; Metazoa; Chordata; Actinopteri; Carangiformes; Carangidae
Exons: 3
Source: RefSeq, a predicted model, not a curated record
AUAAAGUUGAAACACACGCUUCUCUGGACUACUGUGGGCCACAUUUGACAAGUUUUAGCAGUGUGGUUUUUGAUCUAAACCUGGUCUGAUUUGACAUAGUUAUGAAAAAAAAAAAACUGUGAAAUCACAUCUUUUGUGUUUUGAUAAAUAGAAAAAAAAAGGUUUCACAAAUUCGCAAACUGUGUUGUAAACACAAGUCUAAGUAUAGCCUAGUAAUUUUUACACCUGGUCUAAAUAGGAAACCCCAUCUGGUUAAGCUGUGUGUUUUGUGUAGUGACAAAUAGAAUAAAGGUUUCACAAAUUUGAAAAUCUGUGUUUUAAACAGUCUUUAGCUUCUCUGAGUGAAUGUGGUCCACAUUUGACAAGCAACGGUGGAUUUCGAUAUGGGCGACAUGUGCAGCCGCCCAGGCGUCUUGUCACGGGGCACUGUGUUUGAAGUCAUAUUAGAUCAUUCAAAUAUAACAUUUAAAAGUCUCCAAGACAACCGACUUAAGCAUGCUAGCAUUUGAUUGACUGAAAGGGCGGGGGCUAUCUGAAGGUUCACAUGAUGAGAAAAUAUCACAGUGGUACCAAAUGUCACCACGAAAAGUAAACACCCGAAUGUAAACUGAUGUUGUCCGGCCAUGUCAUUGUUAUGCCAUAUAUUAUACUAUGACGUUUUUAUGCCUUACUAUAGGCUACAACGUUUUCAUGUCUUACAAUACUGUGAUGUGACUGAGCGCCGGGGCGGAGCGCCAACAGGUGUGCCUGAUUACAGGUGGAGAGACUCUGGGUCUCAGAGACAAUAGACGGCGGGUCUGUGGCAGCCGGGUUUGGGGCACACGUUGCGGCGGUUCGGGACUCUUUGCCGUUCGCAGUUGUUUAGAGCUGCCGGGGACGAAGACAUCGAGAGCAGGAGGAUAGCUGUUCCAAUGUUAGGAGGGGAGGUCAGAUGCCUCCUGUAGAUAGUCAGGGCCGGGUUAUAGUGAGUGCUGUGGACGCCAUCGCUCCUCGUCUCCUCGGGCCCCAUUAAGCAACGGUGACGCCAGCCAAGCUCCGUCCACGCCGUCCAACGAAGCCGUUUCCCCGGGGGAGUUGGGCAGUGUCUCAAGUUCAGACCCCGGGGGAGGGGGGUCUCACCGACCGGGCGAGUGAGCCUCGAUCUCGUGCCUGAAGAACAGCAUCCCCAGCUGGCCGUGCGAGGCCUCAUUCAUGGCCUUGGACUGCAUGCACAUGCGGUACUGGUCCGGAGGGAGCUCAUCAGCGCAGUGCUUCUCAUGCCACAGGUGGAACAAGCCUCGUGACGGUGCUCGCACCACCAGGAGGUUGCUAUGAAGUUUCCCCUUAGCGACAGCAACAGGAGGAGACACAGAGAGACAAAGAGACGCUGUGUGAUACUGGAGAUAGUCCGACUGAUUCAAGGCCACACAAAAACCUUCGGGGCUGGGAAAUCGACAAGCAUCACCAUAGCAACCCCCUCAGGGAAUCUGUGGCUCAAUCCACAGUGGAUCUGACUCCUGAUCAGCCACACACAGCGAUCGUCUCCAGAGGUGUGGGUGUCGAGGUCCCUGUGAGGGGGCAACAUGAAUCAGGGACGAUCACAGGCCUGUUGUAAUUUAUCUGUGUUGGCUGGUAUAGCUCUCAGCUCCUCAGCAUGGGUGGCACACUGCUCCAUUAUUCAUCAGGCAGAUGACUGGCUAUGGCAGGACGCCGAUCCAGGAGGUGUGUGUGUGUGUGUGUUUUGUGUGUGUGUGUGUCGUGAGAGAGAGGGACAGAUUACAAAACACGAAGAAGAGAAGGGGUUUCUGGUGCAUGUGUGGAAAUAGCUAAAAUGUUUUCACAGCACUCUUGACAGCGAGUGCGUGACUGUGUCAGUCUUCAUUUCAUUACGUAAAUUGCAUUUCAUAUUCUGCGUUUGGCCUCUAA